Molecule: long non-coding RNA, 242 nt
Filed under: Mytilus galloprovincialis (Mediterranean mussel)
Lineage: Eukaryota; Metazoa; Mollusca; Bivalvia; Mytilida; Mytilidae
Source: RNAcentral
CAUCUUUACAUUUCUGAAGUCUUAGACUAGCAAAUUUGACAUCAAUUUGAGAACCAAGUCCUCAUUUUUCGGCCUCUUCUACCAGGCCACACUGUUCAGUUAUUUUACGAAUUGCAAAUUGAAAAGGUACUUUAUUUUUCACAAUUCCGUCCAGGUACUCUGGGUCAAUAUAACUUAUCAAACAUUCCAUAUACAUCUGAAUUAUUUUCAUCAUAGGACUGACCAGGGUUUUAGCUGGAUAA